CAGAGAGUAGUUUAAAUAAAAUAUUAGUUUUGGGGACUAAUGAUAGGGGUUUCUCUUUUCUCUGA
This 65-nucleotide transfer RNA is filed under the name Doddsia occidentalis. RNAcentral describes it as "tRNA-Pro". It matches the Rfam family "tRNA". From Rfam's summary of the family: Transfer RNA (tRNA) molecules are approximately 80 nucleotides in length. Their secondary structure includes four short double-helical elements and three loops (D, anti-codon, and T loops). The record is from RNAcentral. Lineage: Eukaryota; Metazoa; Arthropoda; Insecta; Plecoptera; Taeniopterygidae.